UUGCCGUCUCCUGCCACGAAUGGUCUGGUCGCUGUCUUCUUCUGAGGACCUAACCCAAGACGGUAGGUAAGUGCCAGCUUAAAGUCUAUCUAAAGGCGGACCACCACUGUCCACCUGGGCGGCGAUGGCGACCGCCGCGAGGGAGAGGCGCCUGCCGCCGGCGCUGCCCCUGGCGACUCUCAUCGGCCGGGAGCUCCGCGCGGGGGGCUCCGAGCGCCCGGCCCUGCGCUACGGCCACGCCGGCUUUGCCAAGCGUGGCGAGGACUACUUCCUCGUCAAGCCCGACUGCCUCCGCGUCCCCGGGGACCCCGCAUCCGCGUUCUCCGUCUUUGCCGUGUUCGACGGCCACAACGGCGUGUCGGCGGCGGUCUACAGCAAGGAGCAUCUGCUCGAGCACGUCAUGAGCGCGCUGUCGCCGGACAUCGGCCGCGAAGACUGGCUGCAGGCGCUGCCGCGCGCGCUCGUCGCCGGCUUCGUCAAGGCCGACAUCGAUUUCCAGCGCAAGGGGGAGGUGUCCGGAACCACGGCGACACUGGUGGUCAUCGAUGGGUUCACGGUCACGGUGGCGUCGGUGGGUGACUCGCGCUGCAUCCUGGACACGCAGGGCGGCGAGUUGCAGCUGCUAACCGUGGACCACCGCCUGGAGGAGAAUGCAGAGGAGCGGGAGCGCGUCACGGCCAGCGGUGGGGAAGUAGGCCGGCUCAAUCUCUUUGGCGGCCAGGAGGUCGGCCCUCUCCGGUGCUGGCCUGGUGGCUUGUGCCUCUCAAGAUCCAUCGGGGACAUGGAUGUUGGAGAGUUCAUUGUGCCCAUUCCACAUGUCAAGCAAGUCAAGCUAUCAAACACCGGAGGAAGACUGAUAAUAGCAUCUGAUGGCAUAUGGGACGCGUUGUCCAAUGAAGCAGCUGCAAAAGCAUGCAGAGGAUUGCCUGCAGAACUGGCAGCGAAGCUUGUCGUUAAGCAAGCUCUGAAAACAAGCGGGCUAAAGGAUGACACCACCUGUGUCGUAGUUGACAUUAUCCCGUCCGAUCAUCUGACAUCGCCACAAUUGUCUCCAAAGAAAAAUCAGAACAAGUUGAAGUCACUUUUUCGUAGAAGGUCGCAUAGUUCAGUUAGAAAGCUUGGAGGCAAGUCUGCCUCCAUUGGUUCCGUGGAGGAGUUAUUUGAAGAAGGGUCUGCAAUGCUAGAAGAAAGCUUAUUUUCAGCUUCUUCACAAAUUUAAGCAGAAGUUCUGCCAAACAGCCAGCUUCUACAGCAGCUUAUUAGUUCAGCUGCUUCUCAGAAUACACUAAAAGCAGCCAACAAGCAGAAGCUGCCUUUCACCAGCUUCUCAGAUAAGCUGCUUUUUCAACAAGCAGCAGUUGUGCCAAACAGGGCCUUUUAUGUAACAUAUAAUGUGUGGGAUGACAAGUUUGUUCAUAAACUAGAGCAGCGAUGGUGUUUUACUUGUAUUUUCUGUAUUAAUGACGAGAGCGUUUAGCUGAACUUGGUGUGCUACCAUGACCUUGGUAUCAAUCUUAGGAGUGCAAGUUGGGUAGGAAUCUGUCCUUGAAAGCAGCUUCACCACCUUUCCGCUGUGCAAUCUGCCAAGUGGACCAAGAGCCCUUCCAAGAUUUGAUGGCAGAUAAUGGAGGUGGUUACUGCUCUUCCCAGUACGCUCCAUGGGGUGGCCCAUGUCUCUGUUUGGACUGUCGGAAAAAGAAAGAUGCAAUGGAAGGAAAAAGAUGUAGCCGCUCUACAGCAUGCAGGUGAAACAAUCAAAAUGCUGAGAAAAAGGAGCAACGAGAGACACUAAGGACGUGUUUGGUUUGCGAAUUCAGUUGAUCCGGCAUGAGCUGCUCCUGCAUGAGGUCGUCCGAUGUUUUUCUGGGAGUGAACCGGUGCUGCAUAAUUGCACUUCUAACGAGCACUACAUGGAGUAUCUGAUGUCGGACGACACAGAUCUAUGAUGUAAACCAAACAAAUAUAUUAGGUUCGGAUAUAGGAUCGGAUGAUUCCGGAGACCGUUGUCCGGCAAACCAAACACGUUGUAAAUUAAAUCGCUGGAUCCAAGAGUAUGCUGAAACUAACUGUAUUGACGACCAAGGUUUGAUGUUGUUGAGCUCAAAUAACUUGAGCUUGUAGUUUUGAUGUGCCCUGUAGUGUGCCUUGUGAUGGUUUUUGUGGGAAUAGGAAACAUGUAAAAUACUCCUUGUGUUAUUGCUGAAUUAGAGCUGUUGAUUUUUUUAAUAAAAAAAAUUACAUAGA
This is an RNA transcript of Zea mays, 2244 nucleotides long. RefSeq lists it as uncharacterized. The record is from RefSeq and is marked provisional. The transcript has 9 exons. NCBI's taxonomy places the organism in Eukaryota, Viridiplantae, Streptophyta, Magnoliopsida, Poales, Poaceae.